AUUGAACGCUGGCGGCAUGCCUUACACAUGCAAGUCGAACGGUAACAGGCCUUCGGAUGCUGACGAGUGGCGAACGGGUGGGUAAUACAUCGGAACGUGCCUAGUAGUGGGGGAUAACUACUCGAAAGAGUGGCUAAUACCGCAUGAGAUCUACGGAUGAAAGCAGGGGAUCGCAAGACCUUGUGCUACUAGAGCGGCCGAUGGCAGAUUAGGUAGUUGGUGGGAUAAAAGCUUACCAAGCCGACGAUCUGUAGCUGGUCUGAGAGGACGAUCAGCCACACUGGGACUGAGACCCGGCCCAGACUCCUACGGGAGGCAGCAGUGGGGAAUUUUGGACAAUGGGCGAAAGCCUGAUCCAGCAAUGCCGCGUGCAGGAUGAAGGCCUUCGGGUUGUAAACUGCUUUUGUACGGAACGAAAAGCCCCGGGUUAAUACCCUGGGGUCAUGACGGUACCGUAAGAAUAAGCACCGGCUAACUACGUGCCAGCCGCCGCCGUAA
This 498-nucleotide ribosomal RNA is filed under the name uncultured bacterium. RNAcentral's name for it is "partial 16S ribosomal RNA". It matches the Rfam family "Bacterial small subunit ribosomal RNA", at positions 30 to 523 of the family's 1533-position model. The record is from RNAcentral.